This 2617-nucleotide long non-coding RNA is filed under the name Eucalyptus grandis. Its description in RNAcentral is "long non-coding RNA (EGRA_LNC007642)". Lineage: Eukaryota; Viridiplantae; Streptophyta; Magnoliopsida; Myrtales; Myrtaceae. The record is from RNAcentral.
GAUGUUUCUCGUCUUGUCGAGUUCCUCUCUAUCAACUGGAUAGAGUUCGUCUUCGUUUCUCCUCUUCAGCAGUCUUCUGUUGAUUUCUUUUGCCAUGCGGAUGGCUCUCCUUCAUCCUUUUCUUCUUUUAUGUCUUACACAGGCCUAAAUCGUUAACCCAGUUAUACUUCCUCUUCAUCUUUCUUGGCAGUGGUCUUCUUUUUCCUCUGGGUUUUCCCUUUUCUCCAUCUGCAUGUCGAUAAUAUUGAUGAUACCGACUUUCCUCCGUUGAACCGUUCCACCAUUUCCUCCUGUUGAUUUCUUUUGCCAUGCGGAUGGCUCUCCUUUAUCCUUUUCUUCUUUUAUGUCUUACACAGGCCUAAAUCGUUAACCAAGUUAUACUUCCUCUUCAUCUUUCUUGGCAGUGGUCUUCUUUUCCUCUGGGUUUUCCCUUUUCUCCAUCUGCAUGUCGAUAAUAUUGAUGAUACCGACUUUCCUCCGUUGAACCGUUCCACCAUUUCAUCGAUGGCCCUUGACGAUGACCCGGAUGCAUCUCGGAUCGCUACACUUUGUCAAAAACUUGGCCGAUUAAGUACAGAAAAAGAAAUUGCAGAGUUGCGCGUUGAACCCACACCUGGUGCUGUCGAGGAAUGCAAGCUUCUGUUAAAAGGUAAAGUCCCCUCCAACCCUUCCUUUAAUUUCCCGGCCUUUCAGUCAGUCUUGAAGCGGGCAUGGAGGUUGGACCAUGCAGAAAUCAUACAGAAAGAAGCAGGACUGUAUUUAGCAAAAUUCAAGUCUCAAGCUGAAAAACAGCGAAUUCUCGACACUGGACCUUGGCAAUUCUCAGGACAUCUUAUAAAUUUUAAACCAUGGGUUGCCAACACCCCUCUACACUGCUAUGACUUUUCUACAUGUGCAUUUUGGGUUCAGAUAAUUGGGUUACCUUUGGAAUGCUGUACUGACGAUAUGAUCCGCACGGCUGUUAGUACGGUUGGCUCUGUUUUGCAAGUUAAAUCUGAGUUCGCCACUGGUUCCGCACUGAAAGCUUGCCGUGCUCGAGUUGAGUUGGAUUUAUCUACACCAUUGAAGGUAGGUCGCCUAAUUAAACUUCAACAUCAAACUCUGUGGUUGGAUUUUCGGUACGAAAGGUUACCUCACUAUUGUUAUUCUUGUGGACGACUGGGUCAUUACACUGAUUCUUGCCCCUUCAUUCCUUUUGAGGAAAAAAUGACCACAGAUGCUGACAAAACUCCUUAUGGUCCAUGGUUAAAAGCAAAAGUUCAGAAAUACAGCCCUUACUGGCAGUGUUACUAUGGCCAAUCAAUUAUGGAGGAGGAGAAUGAAGACACCAUACCUGAAACUCCUCCCAUGGCAGUUCAUUCUCUUCCACUUCUUCUACCGCCCAUUCCUGUUACACCCUCCUCUCCACAGGAAUCUACUCCAAUAGAACCACAAACCAGAAAUGAUUCCUCCAGCAUCACUCCCCCUGUGCACCACACCUUAACCACCGCUCUAAUUCCAGCUAUAGAGAAACUGAAAGGAGUGUAAUGGCCAACAUCAACUCAUCAGGCUAAAAAAGGUAACAGUAUUCGACCGAUAAGUAAGAUAAGUCCUGCAAAGAAACCCAGGCGUUAUACUCCCUAUGCCUUACCAGGAGAGCAUACCGGACUUUAUGAUGACUCUUGCUUGUUAGACACACCCAUUAUGGAGGCCUCUGAAGAUGUUAUGCGGGCGACGGUGGCUGGCCCUAAACAGUCACCAAAUCAACGAUGAAAAUCAUAAGUUGGAACUGUCAGGGUUUGGGCAAUCCCCUAACAGCCCUAUCUCUAAAAGCCCUUUUGGCUAAGGAAAAGCCUGACCUGUUAUUUUUUAUGGAGACCAAAAAUGUUGAUGAUGUUCUCCUUCGCUUGAAAAGAUCUUCUGGUUUUUUGCAUCACAGGCUGGUUAGCCCUGUUGGAUCUGCGGAGGGCUUAGCUCUUUUUUGGAAUGCAGGGCUCUCUCUGUCAGACUUCUCCUCCUCUCCACAUUUUUUGGACUUUACUUGUAUGGAUUUCUCCGAAGCCAGGUCUAUGAGAAUUACUUGUCUUCAUGCACCUGCAGUUGUUCAACACCGUCAGCAUCUUUGGCAGACCUUACGUCAUUUUAGUAGCUUCAAUGUCUUACCUUGGGUAUGCUGUGGUGACUUUAAUGAAAUUCUACACAGAUGGGAGAAAAUAGGAUCUCGGCCACCAGAUUCUUACCGCCUUGACUCUUUUCGUGAGCUCCUCAAUGAUUGCCGGUUGUUGGAUUUACCUUCUCAUGGUUGUGCUUACACGUGGUCCAAUAACAGAGUUGGAGAUGCUUUGGUGAAGGAGAGAUUGGAUCGAGCGGUCUGCAAUGCUGAAUGGCGUGUCUCUUACCCGAAUGCUCAAGUGUUAGCUCUGCCUGCAAUAGGAUCAGAUCACAGCCCUCUUGUUAUUAACACAACACCCAGUAUGAGUCGACGAAAGAGACACUUUACCUUUGAAGCUUUAUGGAACCAGGAUCCCGGAUGUCAAUCAGUUGUUAAAACCUCCUGGCACUCAGCCUCGACAAGGGACUCUUCUCUUCCAGUAAAGCUACGUGCAGUUGCCACAGCUCUGUCCACUUGGAGUCGCCA